CUCUGCCGAAAAGUGGGGGAUAUGCUCGCCGAAUAGGGGAAUUAAUACCGCUAUGUGGUGAGGGACGACAUCUUCCUGACAUCCAAAGCCGGGGCAAGCUGGUCGCUUAUUGAGGAGCCCGCGGCCUAUCAGCUAGUUGGCGGGGUAAUCGGCCCAACAAGGACUAUGACGGGUAGCUGGUCUGAGAGUGCACGAGCCAGUCACAGCUGGGAACUGAGGACACAGGUCCAGACACAAUACGGGUGGCAGCAGUCGAGAAUUUAACUCAAUGGAGGGAAACCCUGAAAGGAGCGACGACCAGCGUGGAGGAU
Molecule: ribosomal RNA, 311 nt
Filed under: uncultured fungus
Lineage: Eukaryota; Fungi
Description: bacterial SSU rRNA
Rfam family: Bacterial small subunit ribosomal RNA
Source: RNAcentral